This 719-nucleotide long non-coding RNA is filed under the name Trifolium pratense (red clover). RNAcentral's name for it is "long non-coding RNA (TPRA_LNC009333)". The record is from RNAcentral. Lineage: Eukaryota; Viridiplantae; Streptophyta; Magnoliopsida; Fabales; Fabaceae.
GCAAUUGUAAUAGGAUAAAAAAAAUGAUUGUAAACAUGUUUAUUAAAAAAAAGUGUGAUAUCCUCUUUUAAUUUAUUUUUAAAAAUUGAGAAGCUUUAUACGAUUUUGUUUAUAAUUCAAAAUUAUAAAUUUAGAAAAUGACUACUAUUGUUCAGAUUUAUUUGUUAGUAUUUAUUUACACUUUUAAUUUUAAGAUAUUUCAUCCAUAAAUCAGGGAAAAUAAUUAAUGUGAUUAUUUGAUGUCUUUCUGUUUUUUUUUUUUAUUAUUUAUUCUCAUAUCUUAUUUUUCUUGCAAAUAUAUGAUGUAUUUUUUUUUAUCAGUAUUUACUCCCGAUUUUUUAUNNNNNGUCAAUAUCAUGUUUUAUAUUGGAUUUAAUCAUCUGUUAUAUUUCAUUUGCAGAUAUGUAGAAAGAAUGUGAAAUGACUCAAUUAAGAUCAAGAUAAUUGCAAUUGAGGAGAAAAUUGAUUUAUUUUUUUAUUAGGUUAGAAUUAUUUUCCGUAUUAUUUUUUAUUUAUUUAGAGUAGACCACCAAAGAGGAGAAAAGGCGAUAUAAUUUCUCAUACUCCUUUAUUCUUUUAUAUUUGGUUAGUUAAUCUUUAUUGUUAAUUUCUUUCAAAACUUGAAUGUGAUUUAUUUGAUCCAACUUUUUUCUUUUUUUGCAGAUGAUUCAAGGUUUAUUUUUGGUACUUUCAAUAUUUUUUUUAUUGGCAGUUUCAAG